This 262-nucleotide ribosomal RNA is filed under the name uncultured archaeon. RNAcentral describes it as "partial 16S ribosomal RNA". It matches the Rfam family "Archaeal small subunit ribosomal RNA", at positions 748 to 1009 of the family's 1478-position model. The record is from RNAcentral.
CAGCCGUAAACCAUGCUCGCUAGGUGUCAGGCAUGGCGCGACCGUGUCUGGUGCCGCAGGGAAGCCGUGAAGCGAGCCACCUGGGAAGUACGGCCGCAAGGCUGAAACUUAAAGGAAUUGGCGGGGGGAGCACAACAACGGGUGGAGCCUGCGGUUUAAUUGGACUCAACGCUGGACAACUCACCGGGAACGACAGCAAUAUGUAGGCCAGGCUGAAGACCUUGCCUGAAUCGCUGAGAGGAGGUGCAUGGCGUAGACGUCU